Molecule: ribosomal RNA, 294 nt
Filed under: uncultured Limnohabitans sp.
Lineage: Bacteria; Pseudomonadati; Pseudomonadota; Betaproteobacteria; Burkholderiales; Comamonadaceae
Description: partial 16S ribosomal RNA
Rfam family: Bacterial small subunit ribosomal RNA
Source: RNAcentral
UCGACGAGUUUGAUCCUGGCUCAGAUUGAACGCUGGCGGAAUGCUUUACACAUGCAAGUCGAACGGUAGAGGGGGCAACCCCUUGAGAGUGGCGAACGGGUGAGUAAUAUAUCGGAACGUGCCCAGUCGUGGGGGAUAACGUAGUGAAAUUACGCUAAUACCGCAUACGAUCUAAGGAUGAAAGCGGGGGAUCGCAAGACCUCGCGCGACUUGGAGCGGCCGAUAUCAGAUUAGGUAGUUGGUAGGGUAAAGGCCUACCAAGCCAACGAUCUGUAGCUGGUCUGAGAGGACGAC